UGGGGGAUAUUGCACAAUGGGCGAAAGCCUGAUGCAGCGACGCCGCGUGGGGGAUGAAGGCCUUCGGGUUGUAAACUUCUUUUGCUCUGAACUAGGCGCACCAUGGGGUGUGUUGAGUGUAGGGGUUGAUUAGCGCCGGCUAACUACGUGCCAGCAGCCGCGGUAAUACGUAGGGCGCGAGCGUUGUCCGGAAUUAUUGGGCGUAAAGGGCUUGUAGGUGGCUGGUUGCGUCUGUCGUGAAAGCUCAUGGCUUAACUGUGGGUUUGCGGUGGGUACGGGCUGGCUUGAGUGCAGUAGGGGAGGCUGGAAUUCCUGGUGUAGCGGUGGAAUGCGCAGAUAUCAGGAGGAAUACCGGUGGCGAAGGCGGGUCUCUGGGCUGUUACUGACACUGAGGAGCGAAAGCAUGGGGAGCGAACAGG
This 419-nucleotide ribosomal RNA is filed under the name bacterium. RNAcentral describes it as "partial 16S ribosomal RNA". It matches the Rfam family "Bacterial small subunit ribosomal RNA", at positions 355 to 776 of the family's 1533-position model. The record is from RNAcentral.